RNAcentral lists this ribosomal RNA (252 nucleotides) under uncultured microorganism. Its description in RNAcentral is "partial 16S ribosomal RNA". It matches the Rfam family "Bacterial small subunit ribosomal RNA", at positions 524 to 776 of the family's 1533-position model. The record is from RNAcentral.
UACGUAGGCCUCAAGCGUUAUCCGGAUUUAUUGGGCGUAAAGCGAGCGCAGGUGGUUUAAUAAGUCUGAUGUAAAAGGCAGUGGCUCAACCAUUGUGUGCAUUGGAAACUGUUAGACUUGAGUGCAGUAGAGGAGAGUGGAAUUCCAUGUGUAGCGGUGAAAUGCGUAGAUAUAUGGAGGAACACCGGUGGCGAAAGCGGCUCUCUGGACUGUAACUGACACUGAGGCUCGAAAGCGUGGGUAGCAAACAGG